This 494-nucleotide ribosomal RNA is filed under the name uncultured bacterium. Its description in RNAcentral is "partial 16S ribosomal RNA". It matches the Rfam family "Bacterial small subunit ribosomal RNA", at positions 28 to 507 of the family's 1533-position model. The record is from RNAcentral.
GACGAACGCUGGCGGCGUGCUUAACACAUGCAAGUCGAACGGUGAAGCGCCUUCCUUUUUGGUGGGUGUGGAUGAGUGGCGAACGGGUGAGUAACACGUGAGUAACCUGCCCCCUUCUUCUGGAUAACCGCAUGAAAGUGUGGCUAAUACGGGAUAUUCUGGGUCUGUCGCAUGAUGGGUCUGGGACAGCUAUUGUUUCGGUGGGGGAUGGGCUCGCGGCCUAUCAGCUGGUUGGUGGGGUGAUGGCCUACCAAGGCGGUGACGGGUAGCCGGCCUGAGAGGGUGGGCGGCCACAGUGGGACUGAGACACGGCCCAGACUCCUACAGGAGGCAGCAGGGGGGAAUAUUGCACAGUGGGCGCAAGGCUGAUGCAGCGACGCCGCGUGGGGGAUGGAGGCCUUCGGGUUGUGAACCUCUUUCGCCAGUGAAGCGGGCCUGCCUCGUUUGUGGGUGGGUUGACGGUAGCUGGAUAAGAAGCGCCGGCUAACUACGUG